GCCAGGUGUGGUGGCGCACACCUGUAAUCCCAGCUACUCGAGAGGCCGAGGCAGAAGAAUCGCUUGAACCUGGGAGGUGGAGGUUGCAGUGAGCCGAGAUCACGCCACUGCCCUCCAGCCCAGGCAACAGAGCAAGACUCUGUCUCAA
Non-coding RNA from Gorilla gorilla gorilla (western lowland gorilla), 148 nucleotides. It matches the Rfam family "Metazoan signal recognition particle RNA". Rfam says of the family: The signal recognition particle (SRP) is a universally conserved ribonucleoprotein. It is involved in the co-translational targeting of proteins to membranes. The eukaryotic SRP consists of a 300-nucleotide 7S RNA and six proteins: SRPs 72, 68, 54, 19, 14, and 9. Lineage: Eukaryota; Metazoa; Chordata; Mammalia; Primates; Hominidae. The record is from Rfam.